Molecule: ribosomal RNA, 189 nt
Filed under: uncultured bacterium
Lineage: Bacteria
Description: partial 16S ribosomal RNA
Rfam family: Bacterial small subunit ribosomal RNA
Source: RNAcentral
CCCGCCUGCAUGAAGUCGGAAUUGCUAGUAAUCGCGGAUCAGCAUGCCGCGGUGAAUACGUUCCCGGGCCUUGUACACACCGCCCGUCACACCAUGGGAGCCGGUAAUACCCGAAGUCAGUAGUCCAACCACGUGAGGACGCUGCCGAAGGUAGGAUUGGCGACUGGGGUGAAGUCGUAACAAGGUAUC